This 252-nucleotide ribosomal RNA is filed under the name uncultured bacterium. RNAcentral describes it as "partial 16S ribosomal RNA". It matches the Rfam family "Bacterial small subunit ribosomal RNA", at positions 524 to 776 of the family's 1533-position model. The record is from RNAcentral.
UACGAAGGACCCAAGCGUUAUCCGGAUUUAUUGGGUUUAAAGGGUGCGUAGGCGGGCUGUUAAGUCAGUGGUGAAAGCUCCGAGCUUAACUCGGAAACUGCCAUUGAUACUGACGGUCUUGAGUACAUUUGAGGUGGGCGGAAUGUGUCAUGUAGCGGUGAAAUGCUUGAUAUGACACAGAACACCGAUUGCGAAGGCAGCUCACUAAACUGUAACUGACGCUGAGGCACGAAAGCGUGGGGAGCAAACAGG